Mauremys reevesii (Reeves's turtle) is the source of this 556-nucleotide long non-coding RNA. RefSeq lists it as uncharacterized. The record is from RefSeq and is a predicted model, not a curated record. The transcript is spliced from 4 exons. Lineage: Eukaryota; Metazoa; Chordata; Testudines; Geoemydidae.
UUCCACUGCAGGAGGCAACCUCUUCUUGGCGUUCAAACGCUGGCACCCUCAAGAAUCAGUCACUCACUCACCCUUCACAACACUUCUCACCUGUAUUUGAAGGAUAUGAGAAGUUAAGAUUAAAACAGCAUGAACAUUUUUAAAGUCCACAGCAUCAAAGGAUGAGACAUCCUCCUACUGGGAGCCUGGAAACAACAACAACAACACUACAGGGAGAAAAAUUGCUCCAAAUCCUGCUGACUGAAGAGAAGAGGCAUUAAAAUGGCGAGGAGAGAACAAGCAUUGAUCAGAUUCUGUGUCUACUCAACAUAAAAGCUAUCCAGACUACUAAGGGAAAAGGAGAAGUUUUGAAACACAUAUAGACACUCAGAAACCUGAACAGACCAGUAGAAGACCAAAAUGAAUGGCUGAAACUGAUAGAAAAUAGUGGAAACUGAGGAUGUAGAAGAAGAAAGAAAGAAGUUCUGUAUUACAUAGCACAUCUGAGGAAGGUUUAUUCCAAUAAAUAUCUUUAUAAGAGAAAGGAUGGUGUUGUGAUGAAGGCAUGGAAAUGGGA